This 73-nucleotide transfer RNA is filed under the name Candidatus Omnitrophota bacterium. RNAcentral describes it as "Candidatus Omnitrophica bacterium tRNA-Lys". It matches the Rfam family "tRNA". From Rfam's summary of the family: Transfer RNA (tRNA) molecules are approximately 80 nucleotides in length. Their secondary structure includes four short double-helical elements and three loops (D, anti-codon, and T loops). The record is from RNAcentral. Lineage: Bacteria; Pseudomonadati; Candidatus Omnitrophota.
GGGCCAUUAGCUCAAUUGGCAGAGCGGCGGACUCUUAAUCCGUAGGUUGAAGGUUCAACUCCUUCAUGGCCCA